CCUACGGGUGGCAGCAGUGAGGAAUAUUGGUCAAUGGACGCAAGUCUGAACCAGCCAUGCCGCGUGCAGGAAGACGGCUCUAUGAGUUGUAAACUGCUUUUGUACGAGGGUAAACGCAGAUACGCGUAUCUGUCUGAAAGUAUCGUACGAAUAAGGAUCGGCUAACUCCGUGCCAGCAGCCGCGGUAAUAAGGAGGAUUCAAGCGUUAUCCGGAUUUAUUGGGUUUAAAGGGUGCGUAGGCGGUCGGAUAAGUUAGAGGUGAAAUCCCGAGGCUCAACUUCGGAAUUGCCUCUGAUACUGUUCGUCUAGAGAGUAGUUGCGGUAGGCGGAAUGUAUGGUGUAGCGGUGAAAUGCUUAGAGAUCAUACAGAACACCGAUUGCGAAGGCAGCUUACCAAGCUACUUCUGACGUUGAGGCACGAAAGCGUGGGGAGCAAACAGGAUUAGAUACCCCGGUAGUC
RNAcentral lists this ribosomal RNA (460 nucleotides) under uncultured bacterium. RNAcentral describes it as "partial 16S ribosomal RNA". It matches the Rfam family "Bacterial small subunit ribosomal RNA", at positions 338 to 795 of the family's 1533-position model. The record is from RNAcentral.